This 682-nucleotide ribosomal RNA is filed under the name Vibrio sp. AmSamDD48. RNAcentral's name for it is "bacterial SSU rRNA". It matches the Rfam family "Bacterial small subunit ribosomal RNA", at positions 77 to 758 of the family's 1533-position model. The record is from RNAcentral. Lineage: Bacteria; Pseudomonadati; Pseudomonadota; Gammaproteobacteria; Vibrionales; Vibrionaceae.
CGAUAACGGCGUCGAGCGGCGGACGGGUGAGUAAUGCCUAGGAAAUUGCCCUGAUGUGGGGGAUAACCAUUGGAAACGAUGGCUAAUACCGCAUAAUGCCUACGGGCCAAAGAGGGGGACCUUCGGGCCUCUCGCGUCAGGAUAUGCCUAGGUGGGAUUAGCUAGUUGGUGAGGUAAUGGCUCACCAAGGCGACGAUCCCUAGCUGGUCUGAGAGGAUGAUCAGCCACACUGGAACUGAGACACGGUCCAGACUCCUACGGGAGGCAGCAGUGGGGAAUAUUGCACAAUGGGCGCAAGCCUGAUGCAGCCAUGCCGCGUGUGUGAAGAAGGCCUUCGGGUUGUAAAGCACUUUCAGUCGUGAGGAAGGUGGUGUAGUUAAUAGCUGCAUUAUUUGACGUUAGCGACAGAAGAAGCACCGGCUAACUCCGUGCCAGCAGCCGCGGUAAUACGGAGGGUGCGAGCGUUAAUCGGAAUUACUGGGCGUAAAGCGCAUGCAGGUGGUUUGUUAAGUCAGAUGUGAAAGCCCGGGGCUCAACCUCGGAAUAGCAUUUGAAACUGGCAGACUAGAGUACUGUAGAGGGGGGUAGAAUUUCAGGUGUAGCGGUGAAAUGCGUAGAGAUCUGAAGGAAUACCGGUGGCGAAGGCGGCCCCCUGGACAGAUACUGACACUCAGAUGCGAAA